ACACGACUACAUUAGAUACCCGCGUAGUCCUAGCCGUAAACGAUACUCGCUAGGUGUCGGCCACGGUGCGACCGUUGUCGGUGCCGUAGGGAAGCCGUGAAGCGAGCCACCUGGGAAGUACGGCCGCAAGGCUGAAACUUAAAGGAAUUGGCGGGGGAGCACAACAACGGGUGGAGCUUGCGGUUUAAUUGGAUUCGACGCCGGAAAUCUUACCGGGACCGACAGCAACAUGAAGGCCAAGCUGAAGACUUUGCCGGAUUAGCUG
RNAcentral lists this ribosomal RNA (265 nucleotides) under uncultured archaeon. RNAcentral's name for it is "partial 16S ribosomal RNA". It matches the Rfam family "Archaeal small subunit ribosomal RNA", at positions 717 to 982 of the family's 1478-position model. The record is from RNAcentral.